AUGCUCUUGCACGAGGUCGAACUCGAUGAGCUCACCGAGGACGACAUCCUAUGGAAGCACAAGACUAGUGGGCAAUACUCGGCGGCAUCCACAUACAAGGGACAGUUUUUAGGGAUGGUUCUCAUACCCAUGGAUAAAAUGGUUUGGAAGUCUUGGGCUCCUCCAAAAGUCAAGUUCUUUGCUUGGUUAGCUCUUCAAGAUAGAAUUUGGGCCGCCGAUAGAUUGGCAAAGCGUGGAUGGCCAAAUUGUGACAUGUGCCCUCUUUGCAAGAGGAUUCAAGAAAGCGGGACUCACCUCCUCUACAAGUGCCGCUACACGAGAAGGCUAUGGUCUUUGGUCAUUGACAAAUACCACAUUCUCGGGCUUGACACAAACACUUGGCCCUUGUUCGACUCGGUUGAGGCUUGGUGGGCAAGUACUUGCGACAACACCACUCCAUUCAGACAAGCCAAGGCAUCCCUCACCAUACUUGUCUCAUAGACUAUUUGGAACGAGCGAUACGCGAGAGUGUUCAAGCAGAAGAGCGUGCCACCGACUAUAUUACUUGCCUCCAUCACGACCAAGGCUAGCCUCUGGAUCAUCGCCGGUGUAAAAAACUAG
This 600-nucleotide ribosomal RNA is filed under the name Triticum aestivum (bread wheat). RNAcentral describes it as "partial small subunit ribosomal RNA". Lineage: Eukaryota; Viridiplantae; Streptophyta; Magnoliopsida; Poales; Poaceae. The record is from RNAcentral.